AACAUGUCUUUUUGAAUAUAAUUUAAAGUCAAAUCUGCUCAAUGAUAAUUUUUAAAUAGCUGCAGAAUAUUAACUGUACAAAGGUAGCAUAAUCAAUAGUUUUUUAAUUAAAAGCUGGAAUGAAUGAUUUAAUAAGAAAAGUAUUGUCUCAAUUUUAAUAAAAUUAAAAAUUUUUUUCUAGUAAAAAUACUAGAUUAAUUUUAAAAGACGAGAAGACCCUAUAGAUUUUUAUAUUUUUGGUAUUUAUAUAUUUUAAUAUAAUUAAUAUUAUUAAUAUUUAAAAAUAUUUGAUUGGGGAAAUUAAUAAAUUAAAUAAAUUUUAAUUAAUUAAAAACAAUAAUAAUUGAUAAAUUGAAUUUAAUUUAAAAAUUAAAAGAAUAAAUUACCUUAGGGAUAACAGCGUAAUUUUUUUAAAGAGAUCAUAUUGAUAAAAAAGUUUGCGACCUCGAUGUUGAAUUAAGAUUAAAUUUUAAUGGAGAAAUUAAAAAUUUUUGGUCUGUUCGACCAUUAAAAUCUUACGUGAUCUGA
Molecule: ribosomal RNA, 528 nt
Filed under: Baltazaria sp. 3 BFS-2018
Lineage: Eukaryota; Metazoa; Arthropoda; Insecta; Hymenoptera; Ichneumonidae
Description: partial 16S large subunit ribosomal RNA
Rfam family: Archaeal large subunit ribosomal RNA (bases 393-528)
Source: RNAcentral